Molecule: ribosomal RNA, 254 nt
Filed under: uncultured prokaryote
Description: partial 16S ribosomal RNA
Rfam family: Bacterial small subunit ribosomal RNA
Source: RNAcentral
ACGGAGGGAGCUAGCGUUGUUCGGAAUUACUGGGCGUAAAGCGCGCGUAGGCGGCUUUGUAAGUUAGAGGUGAAAGCCCGGGGCUCAACCCCGGAAUUGCCUUUAAGACUGCAUCGCUAGAAUCCGGGAGAGGUGAGUGGAAUUCCGAGUGUAGAGGUGAAAUUCGUAGAUAUUCGGAAGAACACCGGUGGCGAAGGCGGCAUCCUGGACCAUUUACUGACGCUGAGGCGCGAAAGCUAGGGGAGCAAACGGGA